RNAcentral lists this ribosomal RNA (249 nucleotides) under uncultured bacterium. Its description in RNAcentral is "partial 16S ribosomal RNA". It matches the Rfam family "Bacterial small subunit ribosomal RNA", at positions 84 to 334 of the family's 1533-position model. The record is from RNAcentral.
UAGAUGGCGGACCGGCGCACGGGUGAGUAACACGUACCCAACCUGCCGAUAACGCGGGGACGUCCUUUCGAAAGAAAGAUUAAUACCCGAUGGUGUAAUCAGACCGCAUGGUUUGAUUAUUAAAGAAUUUCGGUUAUCGAUGGGGAUGCGUUCCAUUAGGCAGUUGGUGAGGUAACGGCUCACCAAACCUUCGAUGGAUAGGGGUUCUGAGAGGAAGGUCCCCCACAUUGGAACUGAGACACGGUCCAA